GACGAGGGGUGCAAACGUUAUUCGGAAUGAUUGGGCGUAAAGGGUGCGCAGGCGGUAUGUUAAGUCAACUGUUAAAUUCCUCAGCCUAACUGGGGGUCAGCGGUAGAUACUGGCGUACUUGAGGAUGGGAGAGAGAAGUGGAAUUCUCGGAGUAGCGGUAAAAUGCGUAGAUCUCGAGAGGAACACCGAUGGCGAAGGCAGCUUCUUAGACCAUUUCUGACGCUCAUGCACGAAAGCGCGGGGAGCAAACAGG
Molecule: ribosomal RNA, 253 nt
Filed under: uncultured bacterium
Lineage: Bacteria
Description: partial 16S ribosomal RNA
Rfam family: Bacterial small subunit ribosomal RNA
Source: RNAcentral